UAAAAGCCGAGCAGGCGAGAGGCUGAGUUGCAGAGGAGUGGAAGGGAAUCCACUGGAACAACCUCUGCCACCUCCGAGCCUGCUCAGCCAGCCUCUCUCUGCCCACCGAGCAGCGACCGCGGACCAAAGACACUCCGGACUUCGAAGCCAGCCAUAGCAAUUUGCCAUGCGAGGAGCAAGACACAAGCUCAUCGUGACCUGGAAGAAGUUUCCCAACUAGGGCAUGUCAAUCAAGCCGGAGGGCCCCGCCCGGCACCGCUCCGCGCUCGGGCCCCACGUCGCAGCUGGCUUGGCGGUUUCUGGAAGCUGGCUCGAGGCUCGAAGGUCUCGAGCGACCCUCCGCUCGGCUGUGCCCUAGCAGCACGUCAAAACUGGAGUCAUCUACCUAAAUCCUCCAGUAUUGCCUUGCUGCUUGAGUGAAGUAGGAGCCUAAUUCAUUUCUCUACACGGAAGACCCCGACCCGGCGACCUCGAGGAAGUCCAAGCAAGCUUAAGAACGCAAGACAUCCUGGGCUCUCGAGGAGCCUGGGAAUGAAUGUAUUUGUGUCCCACCCCCAAUAAAUGUUCUCCCCUUUUUGA
Antechinus flavipes (yellow-footed antechinus) is the source of this 579-nucleotide long non-coding RNA. RefSeq lists it as uncharacterized. The record is from RefSeq and is a predicted model, not a curated record. NCBI's taxonomy places the organism in Eukaryota, Metazoa, Chordata, Mammalia, Dasyuromorphia, Dasyuridae. The transcript has 4 exons.